AACGCACCUUGCGCUCCUUGGUAUUCCGAGGAGCAUGCCUGUUUGAGUGUCAUUUAAUUCUCAUCCACACUUGGUUUGUUAAGCUAGGCUGUGGUUUGGAUAGUGGGGGUACUUUUGCGGGCUUCGCUUCUGAGGUCAGCUCCCCUAAAAUGUAUCAGCAGAACGGUUUGCGGUCAGUCACCGGUUGUGAUAAUUAUCUACGCCCACGACAAAAAUGCCGCUCUCUGUCUGUUCAAGUCAUUAGUGACAACUUCUGAACACCUUGACCUCAAAUCAGGUAGGACUACCCGCUGAACUUAA
RNAcentral lists this unclassified non-coding RNA (300 nucleotides) under uncultured Agaricales. RNAcentral describes it as "sequence contains 5.8S rRNA gene, ITS2, 28S rRNA gene". The stretch from base 1 to 52 matches the Rfam family "5.8S ribosomal RNA", at positions 103 to 154 of the family's 154-position model. The record is from RNAcentral. Lineage: Eukaryota; Fungi; Basidiomycota; Agaricomycetes; Agaricales.